CCAAUAGCGUAUAUUAAAGUUGCUGCAGUUAAAAAGCUCGUAGUUGAAUUUCGGGACUAAUAUGUCGGUCGUGCCUCGGUACGUACUGGUAUUUUUGGUUUCUCCCUUCUGACGAACCUUGAUGUCAUUAAUUUGGUGUCUUGGGAAAUCAGGACUGUUACUUUGAAAAAAUUAGAGUGUUUAAAGCAGGCUCACGCUUGAAUACAUUAGCAUGGAAUAAUGAAAUAGGACGUUUGAUUCUAUUUUGUUGGUUUCUAGGAUUGACGUAAUGAUUAAUAGGGAUAGUUGGGGGGCAUUAGUAUUCAAUUGUCAGAGGUGAAAUUCUUGGAUUUAUUGAAGACUAACUACUGCGAAAGCAUUUGCCAAGGAUGUUUUCAUUAAUCAAGAACGAAAGUUAGGGGAUCGAAGACGAUCAGAUACCGUCGUAGUCUUAACCAUAAACUAUGCCGACUAGGGAUCGGAUGAUGUUAAUUUUUUAAUGACUCAUUCGGCGCCUUACG
This 500-nucleotide ribosomal RNA is filed under the name uncultured Glomeromycotina. RNAcentral describes it as "partial small subunit ribosomal RNA". It matches the Rfam family "Eukaryotic small subunit ribosomal RNA", at positions 591 to 1092 of the family's 1831-position model. Lineage: Eukaryota; Fungi; Glomeromycota. The record is from RNAcentral.